RNAcentral lists this long non-coding RNA (234 nucleotides) under Melopsittacus undulatus (budgerigar). RNAcentral's name for it is "lncRNA (ENSMUNG00000014067.2)". Lineage: Eukaryota; Metazoa; Chordata; Aves; Psittaciformes; Psittaculidae. The record is from RNAcentral.
GGCUGAAGUUCUUAGAAACAGCUUUGCCUUCUGUUGAAUUGAUAAACAAAGAAAGAGUCACCAAGACGAAUGCAAAGAGGAUCACUGUGUGUGUGACUGCCAGUGACUGAAGAGUGCAUGCCCAAGACAACCUCAGCUGCAAAACCUCUUGGAAAGCACAGCAUUUCAGAAAGGUCCUGAGGAAGGAUAUGACAAGGUUCUGCAAGAUGUGAUGUCUGGUAGGUGGCCUGUUUC